AGUGGAAUGUGAAAAUACGUCAACCCAAUCGUGUUACAAGAGAGGUUUGUGAACGAGGAUAAUUAAGUAGCUCUUAUCACAAGUGACCCCCCGAAGUAUCACUUCACUGAUUUCUGCUACCGAAGAAAGUGGAAUGUGAAGAGACUUCAAGCCAGUCGUGUUACAAGAGAGGUCUGUGAACGUUGAUCAACAAGUGACCCCCGAAGGAUUACUUGACUGAUUUCUGUUACUUAAAGAAGAAGUGUAGCGUUUGGAGUGUGGGACUAGAUUUUUUCAACAAAAGCAGCAAGAGUGGGUACUAGUUUUAGUGCUGCGGUUUCUACCCUGGUGGAAGGACUCGCUCGUCGUCUUUCACAGCUACGUUUUAAGUCUCCCGUAUCUCUCGCCCACCUUUCGUACUAGCCUGCCUUUCGUUUAGGCUUUCCUUUAGCCUCGUUUCCGGCUGUUUCACACAUGCAAAUUCUCCUUGACUAAAUGUCCACAUUUAGGUUUUGAGGAGAGAGGGAAGCUGUUAAAUGAGUGCAGGUUGUUAAAGGGAAACUAUUAGGAAUGUGACAGUACAUGUUUGGGGAAACAGGCAAGUUUGAAAUAUGAUUUAAAAUAACAUUGAUAUCUUAGAAUUAUUGUUAAAAAAAAAUUUAAUAUAUUAUACAAAAACUAAAUAUUAACGUCUGAGCAUUAUUAUAUACAUUCUAAUUUGUUUAUUGUUGUAGUAAAUUUUAUUACAUUUGAAAUUGUA
Molecule: long non-coding RNA, 739 nt
Organism: Macrobrachium nipponense
Lineage: Eukaryota; Metazoa; Arthropoda; Malacostraca; Decapoda; Palaemonidae
Exons: 3
Source: RefSeq, a predicted model, not a curated record